CCCAACCCCAAACUAUCCCCAAAGGCCACAUUUGGUUUCUUUAAAAAGAGAGAGAGAGAGAGAGAGAGAAAGCUCACCAGGAGUCCUCGUUGGAGCCACCGCACGCCAGGACGUCGUCAAGCUCGUCAUCACCAUCAACCGCAGCUCGAGUGAAUCUCGUGCAUCCAAGGCCAUCAUCGUGUUCCUCUCGUCAAGACGAAGCCGUAGACACCAACCGCGUCACGAUCGGAGCCCGGACGAAGCCGUACGCGCCUCCGGAAGUUUCACCUCCGCGCGCGCGUGAGUUCCACGCGCCGCCGCCGGACCACCGUCCUCCGCCGCAGCGCCGCCGCCGGACCACCGUUCUCCGCCGCAGCUCCGCCGUCGCCGCCGGCCAACUUACCGAUUUGGAGUCCAUUUGAGCAGCUGGAGUUCAUAUAUACCACUUCUCUUCAUUGCUAAGGUGAGACCGACGAGCAGAAGUGAUUAUACCGGACCGGUGCUUUUGGGCUUUUACUACUAUUGGGCUUUUGGGCAUCUAUCUUUUUAUCGCUUUUAUCGUUAUCGGGCCUCUAGGCCUUUGGGCUUUUAUCGUUUAUGUUAUUUCGUAUUUCGGACUCUCGGUUUAUGUCGUACUUUAUGUUUCAGAUUUUAUUUUAUAUUAUGGUUCAAG
Molecule: long non-coding RNA, 652 nt
Organism: Brassica oleracea var. oleracea
Lineage: Eukaryota; Viridiplantae; Streptophyta; Magnoliopsida; Brassicales; Brassicaceae
Exons: 4
Source: RefSeq, a predicted model, not a curated record